GAAACUUAAAGGAAUUGGCGGGGGAGCACCGCAUGGGAGGAGCGUGCGGUUUAAUUGGAUUCAACGCCGGAAAGCUCACCGGGGGAGACUGUCGUAUGUGGGUCAGGCUGAAGACCUUUCCCGAAUAAAAGACAGAGAGGUGGUGCAUGGCCGCCGUCAGCUCGUACCGUAGGGCGUUCUGUUAAGUCAGAUAACGAGCGAGACCCCUGCCCUUAGUUGCCACUCAUGAGUCCGCUCAUGGAGCACACUAAGGGGACCGCUGGUGAUAAACCAGAGGAAGGAGGGGGCAACGGUAGGUCAGUAUGCCCUGAAUCCCUCGGGCUACACGCGCGCUACAAAGGCCGGGACAAUGGGCCGCGACCCCGAGAGGGGAAGCUAAUCUCAAAACCCGGUCGUAGUUCGGAUUGAGGACUGAAACUCGUCCUCAUGAAGCUGGAUUCCAUAGUAAUCGUGCCUCAAAAUGGCACGGUGAAUAUGCCCUUGCUCUUUUGCACACACCGCCCCGUCAAGCCAGGCGAGUUGGGGUAUGGGGUGAGGGGCCUGUUCGCCAUGGCAGGUUCAAAACCCGUGCUCGGCAGAGCGGGGGCUAAGUCGUAACAA
This 600-nucleotide ribosomal RNA is filed under the name uncultured euryarchaeote. RNAcentral describes it as "bacterial SSU rRNA". It matches the Rfam family "Archaeal small subunit ribosomal RNA", at positions 851 to 1441 of the family's 1478-position model. The record is from RNAcentral. Lineage: Archaea; Methanobacteriati; Methanobacteriota.